This 668-nucleotide long non-coding RNA is filed under the name Olea europaea (common olive). RNAcentral describes it as "long non-coding RNA (OEUR_LNC001766)". The record is from RNAcentral. Lineage: Eukaryota; Viridiplantae; Streptophyta; Magnoliopsida; Lamiales; Oleaceae.
CCAAGUGCAGGUUGUCACAAGUAGUAAAUCUCGGAAGUCCGAGGUCGAACCAUAGGGAAUUGGAAGGAAAUAAACUAUUCUAUGAGUAAUAAACGGUUGGCGGAAAUAUGAUUAACACGAACACUAGAGCGUCGGGGAUUCACUUCGGAUAAAUGAGUAGAAAUUGCACUUGAUCUUUAAUUUAACUCAUAUAAAAAUCAACUAAGGAGUGAUCUCAUAUGGAAGAUAAAACAUUAACCACAAAUAUACUAAAAGAUAGAUCUUGAUAAUUGUUUGAGAGAAUAUGUCAAAAUAAGUUGUUGGUAUGUAGAGAUUAUCUAAGCAUUUAUUGUGCCAAAAUUGUCAACAAUAAAUCAAAGUCUUUAACAAACCAAAACCAUUUGUAGAACAUAUACUUCAACCAAGUAAGAAGAUGAACAUUGGAGAAUAAAAUGAAAGAUCAAAGACAAUACUAAACAUUCAUCAAAGUUUCACCCCUAGCUCUAGCUAAAUGUUUAGAAAUACAUAGUGAAAUGUUACAAAGAAAAUGAAGGAAACUAGAAUAUGAUGGAGAGAAUUGAUUCUUCAAAAUCGUGGCCAAUGUCCCCUUUUAUAGGCAAAGGAACAUCCAUAAUUCAAGUAGGCAAUACAACUUGUUUCUGUCCAGCUUCAAGACAGCUGGAACAUGC